GAUGAACGCUAGCGGCAGGCUUAAUACAUGCAAGUCGAGGGGCAGCAUGACUGUAGCAAUACAGUUGAUGGCGACCGGCAAACGGGUGCGGAACACGUACAGAACCUUCCUUCGAGCGGGGAAUAGCCCAGAGAAAUUUGGAUUAAUACCCCAUAGUAUAUUAGAGUGGCAUCACUUUGAUAUUAAAGAUUUAUCACUUGAAGAUGGCUGUGCGGCUGAUUAGGUAGUUGGCGGGGUAACGGCCCACCAAGCCUUCGAUCAGUAACUGGUGUGAGAGCACGACCAGUCACACGGGCACUGAGACACGGGCCCGACUCCUACGGGAGGCAGCAGUAAGGAAUAUUGGUCAAUGGGCGAAAGACCUGAACCAGCCAUCCAGCGUGCAGGAAGAAGGCCCUAUGGGUUGUAAACUGCUUUAUCAGGGAAGAAACCUCUGGAUUUACUCCGGAGCUAGCGGUACCUGAAGAAUAAGCACCGGCUAACUCCGUGCCAG
Molecule: ribosomal RNA, 493 nt
Filed under: uncultured bacterium
Lineage: Bacteria
Description: bacterial SSU rRNA
Rfam family: Bacterial small subunit ribosomal RNA
Source: RNAcentral